RNAcentral lists this ribosomal RNA (564 nucleotides) under Triticum aestivum (bread wheat). RNAcentral describes it as "partial small subunit ribosomal RNA". The record is from RNAcentral. Lineage: Eukaryota; Viridiplantae; Streptophyta; Magnoliopsida; Poales; Poaceae.
AUGCCGCCGCGUCGCCGUGGUUCUUCAGGCUACCGCGGCGUCCGCGAGCGCCCCAACGGCUGGUACUCCGCCGAGAUCCGGUCCGGCGACGUCCGGCUCGGCCUCGGGUCGUUCCGGAGCGCGUACGACGCGGCGGCGUGGCGCUUGGAUAGGCCCCGGUCGCAGAUGAACUUCCGGGACGUCUUCACGCGCGAGCAGGCGCAGCGCGUCGCCCCUCCGCCGCGUCUCAUCACCAACAUGGACCGUGCCGACCACGCUCGGCGCUGCCGCCGCCUCCUCAUCGCCGAGGAGGACGAGCGAGCCAUGGCGGAGUGGCGCCGUCGCCACCUGGAGGACGUCGCCGACGAGCGUGCCUACUGGGCGGAGAGGACGGCAAGGCGCCGCGCGGAGUGGGCGGACCGGCGUCGGCGGAAGGCAUUGGCGAAUGCGCAGUGCGAUAUCGUUGAAGCAUGUGGGAGGUCGAUCUUCACGUCAAACGAUGAACGUUGGGACGACAUAUGGCUCGAUACCUCGGACAACACCGACGAGGAUGAUGAUGGUGAUGAUGGUAGCGACUUGGAGUAG